Molecule: small RNA, 402 nt
Filed under: Histoplasma ohiense
Lineage: Eukaryota; Fungi; Ascomycota; Eurotiomycetes; Onygenales; Ajellomycetaceae
Description: hypothetical lncRNA
Source: RNAcentral
AUGCUCUGCACUCAUGUAGUUUCUAACAAUUCUUCCAUGUAGCUUUUAACAUUCUUCCACUUCAUGCUCUGCACUUGCAUAGUCUCUAACAAUUCUUUCAUAUAGCUUCUAAUAUUCUUCCACUCUGUGUUCCACACUUGUGUAGUCUCUAACAAUUCUUCUGUGUAGUUUUCAAUGAUUCCUCCAUCUCAUACUCUGCACUUAUAUAGUUUCUAACAAUUCUUAUGUAUAUCUCUUAAUAUUCUUUCACUUCACACUUCACUGUGGAGUGGUUUCUGAUAUUCUUCUGCUCUGAACUUUUCUCUAUAAGAAUCCUCUUCAUACAAUCUUUUCUUCUGAUUUCUUUUCUCUUUCUUUCCUUAAUCAAUUCAUAAUCUGUAAUUAGAAUAGUAUCAAAUCAUU